CCUACGGGAGGCAGCAGUAGGGAAUCUUCCGCAAUGGACGAAAGUCUGACGGAGCAAUGCCGCGUGAACGAUGAAGGCCUUCGGGUCGUAAAGUUCUGUUGUUAGGGAAGAACAAGUGCUAGUUAAAUAAGCUGGCACCUUGACGGUACCUAACCAGAAAGCCACGGCUAACUACGUGCCAGCAGCCGCGGUAAUACGUAGGUGGCAAGCGUUGUCCGGAAUUAUUGGGCGUAAAGCGCGCGCAGGCGGUUUCUUAAGUCUGAUGUGAAAGCCCCCGGCUCAACCGGGGAGGGUCAUUGGAAACUGGGAAACUUGAGUGCAGAAGAGGAAAGUGGAAUUCCAAGUGUAGCGGUGAAAUGCGUAGAGAUUUGGAGGAACACCAGUGGCGAAGGCGACUUUCUGGUCUGUAACUGACGCUGAGGCGCGAAAGCGUGGGGAGCAAACAGGAUUAGAUACCCUGGUAGUCCACGCUGUAAACGAUGAGUGCUAAGUGUUAGAGGGUUUCCGCCCUUUAGUGCUGAAGUUAACGCAUUAAGCACUCCGCCUGGGGAGUACGGUCGCAAGACUGAAACUUAAGGAAUUGACGG
RNAcentral lists this ribosomal RNA (587 nucleotides) under uncultured bacterium. Its description in RNAcentral is "bacterial SSU rRNA". It matches the Rfam family "Bacterial small subunit ribosomal RNA", at positions 338 to 916 of the family's 1533-position model. The record is from RNAcentral.